AGUAGUUUGAUCCUGGCUCGAGGACGACGCUGGCGGCGUGCUUAACACAUGCAAGUCGAACGAGACGAUUUUAAGCUUGCUUAGAUGAGUCGAGUGGCAAACGGGUGAGUAACGCGUAGACAACCUGCCGCAAAGAUGGGGACAACAGUCCGAAAGGACUGCUAAUACCGAAUGUUGUAUUGUUUCCGCAUGGAGACGAUAUUAAAGAUGGCCUCUACUUGUAAGCUAUCGCUUUGUGAUGGGUCUGCGUCUGAUUAGCUAGUUGGUGGGGUAACGGCCUACCAAGGCGACGAUCAGUAGCCGGUCUGAGAGGAUGAACGGCCACAUUGGAACUGAGACACGGUCCAGACUCC
Molecule: ribosomal RNA, 353 nt
Filed under: Pseudoselenomonas ruminantium
Lineage: Bacteria; Bacillati; Bacillota; Negativicutes; Selenomonadales; Selenomonadaceae
Description: bacterial SSU rRNA
Rfam family: Bacterial small subunit ribosomal RNA
Source: RNAcentral